GGAGUUAGCCGGUGCUUCUUCUGUGAGUGAUGUCCUUCCUGCCGGCUAUUAACCCGCAGGCCUUCUUCCUCACUGAAAGUGCUUUACAACCCGAAGGCCUUCUUCACACACGCGGCAUGGCUGGAUCAGGGUUGCCCCCAUUGUCCAAUAUUCCCCACUGCUGCCUCCCGUAGGAGUCUGGGCCGUGUCUCAGUCCCAGUGUGGCUGAUCAUCCUCUCAGACCAGCUACGGAUCGUCGCCUUGGUGAGCCGUUACCUCACCAACCAGCUAAUCCGACAUAGGCUCAUCCGAUAGCGCGAGGCCCGAAGGUCCCCCGCUUUCCCCCGUAGGGCGUAUGCGGUAUUAGCCUGGGUUUCCCCAGGUUAUCCCCCGACUACCGGGCAGAUUCCUAUGCAUUACUCACCCGUCCGCCGCUCGCCACCAGGGAGCAAGCUCCCCGUGCUGCCGCUCGACUUGCAUGUGUUAGGCCUGCCGCCAGCGUUCAAUCUGAGCCAGAUCAAACUCUGA
Molecule: ribosomal RNA, 507 nt
Filed under: uncultured bacterium
Lineage: Bacteria
Description: partial 16S ribosomal RNA
Source: RNAcentral